RNAcentral lists this ribosomal RNA (371 nucleotides) under uncultured bacterium. Its description in RNAcentral is "bacterial SSU rRNA". It matches the Rfam family "Bacterial small subunit ribosomal RNA", at positions 527 to 896 of the family's 1533-position model. The record is from RNAcentral.
GGAGGGUGCAAGCGUUGUUCGGAAUUACUGGGCGUAAAGCGCGCGUAGGCGGUUUGUUAAGUCAGAUGUGAAAGCCCAGGGCUUAACCCUGGACGUGCAUUUGAAACUGACAGACUUGAGUAUUGGAGGGGGUGGUGGAAUUCCCGGUGUAGAGGUGAAAUUCGUAGAUAUCGGGAGGAAUACCGGUGGCGAAGGCGACCACCUGGCCAAAUACUGACGCUGAGGUGCGAAGGCGUGGGGAGCAAACAGGAUUAGAUACCCUGGUAGUCCACGCGGUAAACGAUGAGAACUAGGUGUUGGGACGGUUGAUCGUCUCAUUGCCGCAGCUAACGCAUUAAGUUCUCCGCCUGGGGAGUACGGUCGCAAGAUUA